Molecule: long non-coding RNA, 938 nt
Filed under: Ananas comosus (pineapple)
Lineage: Eukaryota; Viridiplantae; Streptophyta; Magnoliopsida; Poales; Bromeliaceae
Description: long non-coding RNA (ACOM_LNC032891)
Source: RNAcentral
UGUUUGCGCAAUGCGACUCGUAUAAAACUUUAAGCCUUUUUGUGUACGUGUCUAUAUAUAUAUAUAGAGCUAGGCUGGUAUACUAUCGGUGGCACGGAGGCCUCCGUGCUACCAAGUUGUUUUCAAUGAUGCGGCUUCCAAAUCGACGAUCGGCUCCGUUAGACUUGAUCUACACUAUUAAAAGUAUUUGGAAAUUAAAUUUCAUAAUUUUUUGACAUCAUUUGGCUAGUGAUCAAAAUGUCUCAAAAUUGACAAUUUUAAUGGUAGAUUUGAUGUGUUUGUGAAUUUAACGGUGUAAAACAAUCCAAAUGGGAUGAAAUUUUAAUAGAAAAUUCUUUUCACUAUUUAGAGUAAGAUCAGUACCUCUGAUCUUAAAUUCAAGUCUUUUAUCAUCAUUUUUUAUGAAAUUUUUAUUUUCAGCCGUUCAUUUUUAGACUACUUGUUAAUAGGUAAAUGAUGCCGAAAAAUUUGAAAUUAAUUUUCAAUCUUUCAAUCAAAUAGUAUCAAAGUUAACGGAGCCGCGCGGUCGAUCGUCGAUUGGAUAGCCGGAUCAUUAAAAACAACUUAGUAGCACGAGCCUCGUGCUAUAUAUAAUAUAUUUAUAUAUAUAGAGAGAGAGAGAGAGAGAGAGAGAGAGAGAGAGAGAGAGAGGGGCUGGAAUACUAUUGAUAGCAAAAAAAAUUUUUUGCUAUUAAGUUUUUAACCCUUAAAUGAAAAAUUAUAAGAUUAGAAUGAUAUUAGUCCUUCAGGGUUGAAUGAUACUCCUAAGAUUGAGUGGUCUCUACUGGGUUAUAAUAUUUAAUCCAAUGGUUAGAAAUUAUGAAAGUAAUUGAUCCAAGGUUAAAAACUUGAUUGCAAAAAAGGUAUUUUGCUAUCAAUAGUAUUCCAGCCUAGCUCUCUCUCUCUCUCUCUCUCUCUCUCUCUCUCUCUCUCUCUCU